UUUUAGGACUCCUGCCAUGAGUAGCAUGCAUAGAGCAGCUUGAUUGCUCUAUGUGGAAUAGACAUCAAGAGAUUUUGGAAGCAUAAUUUUUUGGUAUCUGGGCAGCUGGUGAUUGUUGGUCCUGGUGCCCAC
Small nuclear RNA from Myotis lucifugus (little brown bat), 132 nucleotides. Ensembl annotates it as U11 spliceosomal RNA. The record is from Ensembl. NCBI's taxonomy places the organism in Eukaryota, Metazoa, Chordata, Mammalia, Chiroptera, Vespertilionidae.